Molecule: ribosomal RNA, 515 nt
Filed under: uncultured fungus
Lineage: Eukaryota; Fungi
Description: eukaryotic LSU rRNA
Rfam family: 5.8S ribosomal RNA (bases 182-331)
Source: RNAcentral
CUUGGUCAUUUAGAGGAAGUAAAAGUCGUAACAAGGUCUCCGUAGGUGAACCUGCGGAGGGAUCAUUAACGAAUGGCCUUUGGCCUUCGACCUUGUAAACCUGUGGAAGGAAGAUUGCUUCGGCGCUUUCGGUGCCGGGUCUAUGCCGUAAAGCAUUUGUCUGAAUCAACCAUAAGUUUAAAACUUUCAACAAAGGAUCUCUUGGCUCUCGCAUCGAUGAAGAACGCAGCGAAGCGCGAAAUGUAGUGUGAAUCGCAGAAAAUUGUGAAUCAUCGAAUCUUUGAACGCACAUUGCGCUUCCUUUCCGGGAGGCAUGCCUGUCUGAGCGUCGUUUAAACCAUAGUCCCCCAAAGGGUCUGUCUUGGGCAUCGUCUGCGGGCGUAGCCUCGAAGCGAUCGGUCUGAAGAGCGGAUGAAAUCCAUUAGGACGGACCGUUCCGGGACCUUAAACUUUGAAUUUGACCUCAGAUCAGGUAGGACUACCGCCUGAACUUAAGCAUAUCAAUAAGCGGAGGA